GAUGAACGCUAGCGGCAGGCUUAAUACAUGCAAGUCGAGGGGCAGCAUGGGUGUAGCAAUACAUCUGAUGGCGACCGGCAAACGGGUGCGGAACACGUACACAACCUUCCUUUAAGUGGGGAAUAGCCCGGGGAAACCCGGAUUAAUACCCCGUAACAUUAUGAUGUGGCAUCACAUUAUAAUUAUAGCUCCGGCGCUUAAUGACGGGUGUGCGACUGAUUAGGAGUUGGCGGGGUAACGGCCCACCAAGCCUGCGAUCAGUAACUGGUGUGAGAGCACGACCAGUCACACGGGCACUGAGACACGGGCCCGACUCCUACGGGAGGCAGCAGUAAGGAAUAUUGGGCAAUGGACGCAAGUCUGACCCAGCCAUGCCGCGUGGAGGAUGAAGGUCCUCUGGAUUGUUAAACUUCUUUUAUAUGGGACGAAAAAGGCCUUUCCAGGUCAACUGACGGUACCAUAUGAAUAAGCACCGGCUAACUCCGU
This 486-nucleotide ribosomal RNA is filed under the name uncultured bacterium. RNAcentral describes it as "bacterial SSU rRNA". It matches the Rfam family "Bacterial small subunit ribosomal RNA", at positions 28 to 506 of the family's 1533-position model. The record is from RNAcentral.